GUGAAUCACUAAAUCAUGUGCAUUUCCACCUUUUGAUAAUAUUUCCAGCUUCCGCUGGCUGUGGGAACCAAGCUGGAGCAUGUUAUUACACAAUUGGCUCAUGAAGUUGCUGAAAAGCAUAGCGCAAUAGAAGGGGAACUGGUUGUUCAACCGUCAGACGAACACUUUGGUUUCAACGCCCCCGAAUAGUCCUCUACUUGAUCCAUUUUAUACUUUUCCAAAAUGCUUUUGAGAUUGCAUUCUUCUUCUGGAUCUGGGUUCAAUAUGGCUUUGACUCCUGCAUAAUGGGACAAGUCUGUUGCAUUGUUCAGAGGCUUAUUAUUGGUGUGUUCAUUCAGGUACUCUGCAGUUACAGCACUCUGCCCCUAUAUGCCAUAGUUGCUUAAAU
Syzygium oleosum is the source of this 388-nucleotide long non-coding RNA. RefSeq lists it as uncharacterized. The record is from RefSeq and is a predicted model, not a curated record. Lineage: Eukaryota; Viridiplantae; Streptophyta; Magnoliopsida; Myrtales; Myrtaceae. The transcript is spliced from 3 exons.